This 504-nucleotide ribosomal RNA is filed under the name uncultured bacterium. RNAcentral describes it as "partial 16S ribosomal RNA". It matches the Rfam family "Bacterial small subunit ribosomal RNA", at positions 28 to 506 of the family's 1533-position model. The record is from RNAcentral.
GACGAACGCUGGCGGCGUGCCUAAUACAUGCAAGUAGAACGCACAGUUUAUACCGUAGCUUGCUACACCAUAGACUGUGAGUUGCGAACGGGUGAGUAACGCGUAGGUAACCUGCCUGGUAGCGGGGGAUAACUAUUGGAAACGAUAGCUAAUACCGCAUAAUAUUGAUUAUUGCAUGAUAAUUGAUUGAAAGAUGCUAUUGCAUCACUACCAGAUGGACCUGCGCUGUAUUAGCUAGUAGGUGAGGUAACGGCUCACCUAGGCGACGAUACAUAGCCGACCUGAGAGGGUGAUCGGCCACACUGGGACUGAGACACGGCCCAGACUCCUACGGGAGGCAGCAGUAGGGAAUCUUCGGCAAAGGACGAAAGUCUGACCGAGCAACGCCGCGUGAGUGAAGAAGGUUUUCGGAUCGUAAAGCUCUGUUGUAAGAGAAGAACGGGUGUGAGAGUGGAAAGUUCACACUGUGACGGUAUCUUACCAGAAAGGGACGGCUAACUACGU